AUUCGCCCUUAGAGUUUGAUCCUGGCUCAAGACGAACGCUGGCGGCGUGCCUAACACAUGCAAGUCGAGCGGAGACAGUGAGUAGCUUGCUAUGAGCUGUUUUAGCGGCGGACGGGUGAGUAACGCGUGAGCAACCUUUCCCAGACAGGGGAAUAACACACCGAAGGGUGUACUAAUACCGCAUAAGACCACGGGAUCACAUGGUUCUGAGGUAAAAGAUUUAUCGGUUUGGGGUGGGCUCGCGUCCGAUUAGGUAGUUGGUGAGGUAACGGCCCACCAAGCCGACGAUCGGUAGCCGACCUGAGAGGGUGAUCGGCCACAUUGGGACUGAGACACGGCCCAAACUCCUACGGGAGGCAGCAGUGGGGAAUAUUGGGCAAUGGAGGAAACUCUGACCCAGCAACGCCGCGUGGAGGAAGAAGGUUUUCGGAUCGUAAACUCCUGUCCUUGGAGACGAGUAGAAGACGGUAUCCAAGGAGGAAGCCCCGGCUAACUACGUGCCAGCAGCCGCGGUAAUACGUAGGGGGCAAGCGUUGUCCGGAAUAAUUGGGCGUAAAGGGCGCGUAGGCGGCUCGGUAAGUCUGGAGUGAAAGUCCUGCUUUUAAGGUGGGAAUUGCUUUGGAUACUGUCGGGCUUGAGUGCAGGAGAGGUUAGUGGAAUUCCCAGUGUAGCGGUGAAAUGCGUAGAGAUUGGGAGGAACACCAGUGGCGAAGGCGACUAACUGGACUGUAACUGACGCUGAGGCGCGAAAGUGUGGGGAGCAAACAAGAUUAGAUACCCUGGUAGUCCACACUGUAAACGA
RNAcentral lists this ribosomal RNA (802 nucleotides) under uncultured bacterium. Its description in RNAcentral is "bacterial SSU rRNA". It matches the Rfam family "Bacterial small subunit ribosomal RNA", at positions 1 to 809 of the family's 1533-position model. The record is from RNAcentral.